GACGAACGCUGGCGGCGUGCUUAACACAUGCAAGUCGAACGGAAAGGCCCUGCUUUUGUGGGGUGCUCGAGUGGCGAACGGGUGAGUAACACGUGAGUAACCUGCCCUUGACUUUGGGAUAACUUCAGGAAACUGGGGCUCAUACCGGAUAGGAGCUCCUGCUGCAUGGUGGGGGUUGGAAAGUUUCGGCGGUUGGGGAUGGACUCGCGGCUUAUCAGCUUGUUGGUGGGGUAGUGGCUUACCAAGGCUUUGACGGGUAGCCGGCCUGAGAGGGGGACCGGGCACAUUGGGACUGAGAUACGGCCCAGACGGCUACGGUCGGCAGAGGUGGGGAAUAUUGCACAAUGGGGGGAAGCCUGAUGCAGCAACGCCGCGUGCGUGAUGACGGCCUUCGGGUUGUAAACCUCUUUCGCCUGUGACGAAGCGUGAGUGACGGUAAUGGGUAAAAAAGCACCGGCUAACUACGUG
RNAcentral lists this ribosomal RNA (468 nucleotides) under uncultured bacterium. RNAcentral's name for it is "partial 16S ribosomal RNA". It matches the Rfam family "Bacterial small subunit ribosomal RNA", at positions 28 to 507 of the family's 1533-position model. The record is from RNAcentral.